GUUGCAGGCAGGCUGCUACUGUGAUCUCUGAGCGAAGUAAAGGAACCGGAGCAGAGAGGGACACAAGCAAACAGCAGCAAGGGAGGAAUCACUAAUAUUUCAAACACAGCAAAGCUCGAUGUCUAAAUAUAGGAACUGAUUGAAAUCUGAGAAGACUAUUAUGAGAAAAUUACAAAUAUGCAAGGAUUUGAAUCUUCUGGCUGGAUGCUGUGGGACGUUUGUUAGACUUCUCAUCAAUAGACAUCUCAAG
RNAcentral lists this long non-coding RNA (250 nucleotides) under Struthio camelus australis. Its description in RNAcentral is "lncRNA (ENSSCUG00000013576.1)". Lineage: Eukaryota; Metazoa; Chordata; Aves; Struthioniformes; Struthionidae. The record is from RNAcentral.